UAGAAGUUAGUCGAUCUAUUCAUUCAGUGCUUCAUGAAAAGUAAGUAAUGAAUCAUCUUCUCGAGAUAUUCCAUAUUUAUUCUGAAAAUAAAUAAUUAUUCUCUGAAAUUAUGCAUGAUUUAUGAAAUUAUGUUUUGAAAGAAAAGUAUUUUUGAAAUAUUAUGGUACGUCGAUUUAUGCACAUGUUCAGUGAAAAAUUAUGAUAUAUUAUGGUACAAAGUGUUUUGAUACAGAUCAGAUUUAUGCUCUCAGCCUAACUAUGUUUCAGUGGGCCCCGCCAAUGGGGAUUAUACGUUGGUACUCAAUGGACCCUGCCAGUGGGGGUUGUACGCUGGUAUUCUGUGGACCCCGCUAAUGGGGGUUAAAUGUUGGUCAUAGUCAAGGCUGUUGAGUUACGAGUGUUUUGAAUCGAAUCGGAUUUAUGAUUAUAUUAUAUAUGAAUAUUUGAAAAUAUUUGGUUUGUAUUAAAUCAGCAUGAAAUAUACUCUUAUGUUUAUUUGCAGC
Molecule: long non-coding RNA, 504 nt
Filed under: Elaeis guineensis (African oil palm)
Lineage: Eukaryota; Viridiplantae; Streptophyta; Magnoliopsida; Arecales; Arecaceae
Description: long non-coding RNA (EGUI_LNC067488)
Source: RNAcentral